RNAcentral lists this long non-coding RNA (1826 nucleotides) under Megachile rotundata (alfalfa leafcutting bee). RNAcentral's name for it is "uncharacterized LOC105664401, transcript variant X2". Lineage: Eukaryota; Metazoa; Arthropoda; Insecta; Hymenoptera; Megachilidae. The record is from RNAcentral.
GUGUAUUUAUACUCUGAUAUUUUCAGUAGCAAGACAAAUGUAUGAAGGAAAGUGAAAUUUUAAGAGAGGAAUAUUCGACAUCAAUUUUUGAAAUUCGUUGCGGGUCGAGGAUGUUUUGCGUUCACGUCACAUAUGCGAUAUUUCGAAUAAACUAGCCGCGAUUACCUUGGACAAAAUUCAUAUAUUUUGUUCUUAUUAGUUGCACAGAUGCUACUUUAAAUACCAUCUCCUAAAACAAAAGAUUUCAGAAAAGAUAAACAAUUGAUGUUCUUGAAACUUAAUAGUUAACAACGGACUUAAAAAUAUCAGUUUUGAAGGCCUUAAAAAGUGCCAUUAAAAGGCCUUAAAAAGUGCCCAUCGUUACCGAGGUACAUCCAUCCACCGUCCUGUAGAUCAGUCCUAAAACAAAAAACAAAGUAGUGUGAAACGAAUUCGCGGAUCGUAAAGAAAUGCUUAACGAAUGGACGCGAUAUGGUCUUCAAACCCUUACCGAAGUUAUGGCCGAAGAAAGAAAAAAGUUAGAAAAGACGAUGAAAGUUGGAGACUCGUCCCAUUGCAGAAUUCGAGAGUCGAUCGUAGUGCCAGGUAUCCAAGAACCUGUAGAAUCCUAAAAACAAGGUAUUUAGGGAACACCAAGAUUCACCUUGAACUUGCGAAUAUUCGUUUUAUAGACUAGUUCCAUCGUUUUCUUUCUAAAAAGAAUGAAAUCUCCUUUAAUUAGUAACGUCCGACUUUCGAAUGAAAAAUAAUUACUGCGCUUGCGCGAACCGUUGGUUCAAAUGUAUUUACAACCGAGGGUUGCCGGGAAAGAUCGAAGUGUUACUGUUCGAUUAACGCAUAAAUCGAUAGCAAAAGAGCCGUUACCUUCAGAGAUUAGCGGAACAAGGACGAAAGAUGACAAGGAGUUAGACAAGUAUUCAAAUCUGAUAUUUGAAAAUUAAUUGUUUUCCCUUGAAUCCGGAUUGAUCGAAUUCGUUCAACGUCGUCGUCGAUACGGAUUAUGAACAUUAGCGUUUGGAAGUUCAUUGGCAUCGGGAAGUAAAGCCUUUCAGAUACAGACCAGACACGGUUAUGACAGACCAUAUUCGAUGAAGGAUGAGAUAUACCGUUCCUUUUAUGAUUCUCAUCUCGUCCAACGUGAAACUUGCGCUUUGAUCUGCGAAGAGAAGAGAAAUCGGAAUGAGCUAUUCCAGAGAAAUAAACAGUUUUUGUCAACCGAUUAUACCUCGAUCCUUGACCCGAUACCGUAACACAUUGUCACUAGUCGACCCAUUAGUGCAUCUUCGCUUAAAAAACCUUAGACGAUCACUCAUUAUUUUGCCACAAAUGUAUACACGAAAAAGCUAUUAAGAGGAUAGAUAAUUCGGUGAGUUGUUCUCCGUACUAUUUUGAUAUCUGUCUAUUCCAUGAUCACGUGAUUUAUUCACCACUUUAGAAAUUGAUAGGAAUAUUCUUGGGAAAGUUUGCAGAAACCAUUAUGAUCCUUUCAAUGCUGAUUAUAAUUACGACAUUUCGCUAAAAAGCGUCUCGAGGUCAAACAUGGAUAUUUCGUAAGACGCAAUAGUUUCUCGCAUGUGGCUUCAUCCCCCGCCAUUUCCUAAACUUGCUCGAUCGAUACGAUUACAAUUAUAGUUUCCGAUUAUUUCGAUCAAUGAUCGAAAAGCUACAAUUCAAUUGCGCGGUAAUUUGUUACCGUUUGAAAUCAAGAACACUGAUGAUUCUAUAAUACAGAUAAGGAUAUACCAAGAUGUUUAAAUCUUUUUACGCGGGAGAAUGAUUUAGAUUCUGCUUCUAACUAGACAAGAUGUUAUCGACACUAAUGAUCA